RNAcentral lists this ribosomal RNA (252 nucleotides) under uncultured bacterium. Its description in RNAcentral is "partial 16S ribosomal RNA". It matches the Rfam family "Bacterial small subunit ribosomal RNA", at positions 524 to 776 of the family's 1533-position model. The record is from RNAcentral.
UACGUAGGUCCCGAGUGUUGUCCGGAUUUAUUGGGCGUAAAGCGAGCGCAGGUGGUUUAUUAAGUCUGGUGUAAAAGGCAGUGGCUCAACCAUUGUAUGCAUUGGAAACUGGUAGACUUGAGUGCAGGAGAGGAGAGUGGAAUUCCAUGUGUAGCGGUGAAAUGCGUAGAUAUAUGGAGGAACACCGGUGGCGAAAGCGGCUCUCUGGCCUGUAACUGACACUGAGGCUCGAAAGCGUGGGGAGCAAACAGG